RNAcentral lists this long non-coding RNA (1298 nucleotides) under Ananas comosus (pineapple). Its description in RNAcentral is "long non-coding RNA (ACOM_LNC006622)". Lineage: Eukaryota; Viridiplantae; Streptophyta; Magnoliopsida; Poales; Bromeliaceae. The record is from RNAcentral.
AUUAUCCUUACUAGUAUAAAAAUUGGCAAGGCUAGAAGGAAAAUAUAUUCUUUUGGAUGGAUUGAGUAUAAAAUUUAGACCCUGUUAAUAGAUGUGCAGAUUAUUGGAAAAUAUGAAUGGAGAUCAAGUAAAUUAUGGUCUUGAGGCGUGUAAGUUCACUUUCUUUAAGGUGUUAUUUGUCUCCACUCGAAUGUAUGCUGUCGGGUUACCAGCAAAUUACCUCCAGGAUACCAUAAGACCGGAGAAAGACUGCAAACAACACUUUUAAAGACUUUCCCGUAAGAACUUCUCUCUUAAGCAUAAAUAUGAAAAUUAGGAAGGAGAAAGUAUUAAUUAUAUUACACUUAAAGACUACAAACAUCUUCUAUUUAUAGGAGGUGAAUGGUUACGAUGAAAGGACACAACUUUUAAAAUUAUAUCCUUUCACAAAAUGACACGUCCUUUCACGAAUAGUGAAAAGAUAUACUCUUUCACAAAAGGUUCAUAUCCCUUCGUGAAGAAAUAGGUCUCUUCGUAAAGAGAUACAUCUCUUUGCAUCAAAUGAAAAGACAUAUCUUUUCAUAAGAACAACUAAUUCAACAAAGAGACACAACCAUUCAUUUGAUUUUAACUUUAAUUCUUCAACUUAUUCUCUCACAUCCAUUAUUACAAUCUACACUAACACAGAUAAUAUUACUCUAUUUUAUAUCUAUAUAUUUAUUUAUAGGGACAAUUGCUUAUGUAUUUCUGAAAAGUUUUCAACUUUCUAAUUUAUCCCCUUUAGAAGACUAAUAUUGAAAAUACCUUUUUUACGUUCCAACAUAUUUCAACCUUAGAGUUAAAUUCUGUUAAUAAACGAACGAUUAGCAAUAACCGUUAUUUAUGUGAAAUUACUAUUUUACCCUUUCAAAUAUACUCUUCUACCAUCACUGAUUUUUCUUAUUUACCAUUAAGUUAGGAGCACAAAAAUUAUUUUGAUUUUUGAUUUUUUCAAAUAUACACUUCUACCAUCACCGAUAUUUUUAUUUGCUUUUAAGUUAUGGACAAAAUGAGUACUUUGAUUUUUUUUAAAUCUAGUAGAUAUUUAACUCAUGUUUAACCCAAAUUAAUUUAACGGGUGGUAACUGCAUGAAUAUUUUGAAAUAACAGAGGAACAUAUAAGUAGUAUAUUGAAAAGAAAAAAAAAAGAUAAAUUAGAUAUUUUCAAAGUUUUGAGUAUAUAGAUAAUUUUCUCUUAUUUAUAACUUGUAUGGCUACAUUAAUAAACGAAACGAGUAGCAUGUCUAUCUCUCAAAAAAAAAAAAAAAAACUUAUAAUUC